CUCCUGCCACUACUCCCGCCACUUCUCCGUCAACUUCUCCGUCAUCCCCUCCUAACCCUCCGACUCAGUCCCCGCCUUCGCCUGCCCCAAAAACCGCUCCGACAGUUUCUCCGCCAACCCAACAAACUCCUCCAGCGGCGACACCCGCCGUCUCUCCUGCAACUCCUCCGACACCGGUUUCUCCCGCGAAGAGCCCAUCGAAAAGUGUGUCUCCCCCGGUUCAAUCUCCGCCGACUCCUCCGCCCACCGUCGCCUCUCCGGCCAACGCUCCGG
This 273-nucleotide long non-coding RNA is filed under the name Prunus persica (peach). RNAcentral describes it as "long non-coding RNA (PPER_LNC004388)". The record is from RNAcentral. Lineage: Eukaryota; Viridiplantae; Streptophyta; Magnoliopsida; Rosales; Rosaceae.